Molecule: ribosomal RNA, 748 nt
Filed under: Bacillus velezensis
Lineage: Bacteria; Bacillati; Bacillota; Bacilli; Caryophanales; Bacillaceae
Description: bacterial SSU rRNA
Rfam family: Bacterial small subunit ribosomal RNA
Source: RNAcentral
CCGGGGAGGGUCAUUGGAAACUGGGGAACUUGAGUGCAGAAGAGGAGAGUGGAAUUCCACGUGUAGCGGUGAAAUGCGUAGAGAUGUGGAGGAACACCAGUGGCGAAGGCGACUCUCUGGUCUGUAACUGACGCUGAGGAGCGAAAGCGUGGGGAGCGAACAGGAUUAGAUACCCUGGUAGUCCACGCCGUAAACGAUGAGUGCUAAGUGUUAGGGGGUUUCCGCCCCUUAGUGCUGCAGCUAACGCAUUAAGCACUCCGCCUGGGGAGUACGGUCGCAAGACUGAAACUCAAAGGAAUUGACGGGGGCCCGCACAAGCGGUGGAGCAUGUGGUUUAAUUCGAAGCAACGCGAAGAACCUUACCAGGUCUUGACAUCCUCUGACAAUCCUAGAGAUAGGACGUCCCCUUCGGGGGCAGAGUGACAGGUGGUGCAUGGUUGUCGUCAGCUCGUGUCGUGAGAUGUUGGGUUAAGUCCCGCAACGAGCGCAACCCUUGAUCUUAGUUGCCAGCAUUCAGUUGGGCACUCUAAGGUGACUGCCGGUGACAAACCGGAGGAAGGUGGGGAUGACGUCAAAUCAUCAUGCCCCUUAUGACCUGGGCUACACACGUGCUACAAUGGACAGAACAAAGGGCAGCGAAACCGCGAGGUUAAGCCAAUCCCACAAAUCUGUUCUCAGUUCGGAUCGCAGUCUGCAACUCGACUGCGUGAAGCUGGAAUCGCUAGUAAUCGCGGAUCAGCAUGCCGCG